GAUGAACGCUUUCUUCUUUCCUAAUACAUGCAAGUCGAGCGAACAGAUAAGGAGCUUGCUCCUUUGACGUUAGCGGCGGACGGGUGAGUAACACGUGGGUAACCUACCUAUAAGACUGGAAUAACUCCGGGAAACCGGGGCUAAUGCCGGAUAACAUUUAGAACCGCAUGGUUCUAAAGUGAAAGAUGGUUUUGCUAUCACUUAUAGAUGGACCCGCGCCGUAUUAGCUAGUUGGUAAGGUAACGGCUUACCAAGGCAACGAUACGUAGCCGACCUGAGAGGGUGAUCGGCCACACUGGAACUGAGACACGGUCCAGACUCCUACGGGAGGCAGCAGUAGGGAAUCUUCCGCAAUGGGCGAAAGCCUGACGGAGCAACGCCGCGUGAGUGCUGAAGGUCUUCGGAUCGUAAAACUCUGUUAUUAGGGAAGAACAAAUGUGUAAGUAACUGUGCACGUCUUGACGGUACCUAAUCAGAAAGCCACGGCUAACUACGUG
This 497-nucleotide ribosomal RNA is filed under the name uncultured bacterium. Its description in RNAcentral is "partial 16S ribosomal RNA". It matches the Rfam family "Bacterial small subunit ribosomal RNA", at positions 28 to 507 of the family's 1533-position model. The record is from RNAcentral.